ACCAGGAUGGAUGGCCGAGAGGUUAAGGCAUUGGACUUAAGAUCCAAUGGACAUAUGUCCUCGUGGGUUCGAACCCCACUCCUGGUA
Oncorhynchus nerka (sockeye salmon) is the source of this 87-nucleotide non-coding RNA. Lineage: Eukaryota; Metazoa; Chordata; Actinopteri; Salmoniformes; Salmonidae. The record is from the annotation of a RefSeq genome assembly.